AUGACGUCGCCCAGUCCCUCAACGAGCGCGGCGUCAUCGGCCGCUUCUCCACCUUCCUCGAGCACGUCAAACAGCUCAAAACCGGCGAGCAGGUCACCCGCUACAACGCCCUGUUCCACUGGGCCGUCCCUCCCGGUCGCGAGCUGGAUGCCGGACGAGAGGUCGGCCGCUUCCACAUCAUGACCCACGCCUACUGGCGCGAGGCCGGCGAAGAGUUCAACCACGUCAACGUCAUGGGCGUCGCCCACGGAACCGACAAAGACCUGGUCCUCGCUCACAAGCGCGCCAUUGAUGAGCACCUCGUUUCUCACGGAAUUCCCGUCACCUACACCAACGUCUUCUGGGGCGGCCGCAGCGAAAUCAAGCCCAGCGAAAUCUCGCCCAUCGCGUAUCGCGACUU
RNAcentral lists this unclassified non-coding RNA (400 nucleotides) under uncultured bacterium. RNAcentral's name for it is "contains 16S-23S intergenic spacer region". The record is from RNAcentral.